Molecule: ribosomal RNA, 497 nt
Filed under: uncultured bacterium
Lineage: Bacteria
Description: partial 16S ribosomal RNA
Rfam family: Bacterial small subunit ribosomal RNA
Source: RNAcentral
GAUGAACGCUGGCGGCGUGCCUAAUACAUGCAAGUCGAGCGAACAGACGAGGAGCUUGCUCCUCUGACGUUAGCGGCGGACGGGUGAGUAACACGUGGAUAACCUACCUAUAAGACUGGGAUAACUUCGGGAAACCGGAGCUAAUACCGGAUAAUAUAUUGAACCGCAUGGUUCAAUAGUGAAAGACGGUUUUGCUGUCACUUAUAGAUGGAUCCGCGCCGCAUUAGCUAGUUGGUAAGGUAACGGCUUACCAAGGCAACGAUGCGUAGCCGACCUGAGAGGGUGAUCGGCCACACUGGAACUGAGACACGGUCCAGACUCCUACGGGAGGCAGCAGUAGGGAAUCUGCCGCAAUGGGCGAAAGCCUGACGGAGCAACGCCGCGUGAGUGAUGAAGGUCUUCGGAUCGUAAAACUCUGUUAGUAGGGAAGAACAAAUGUGUAAGUAACUAUGCACGUCUUGACGGUACCUAAUCAGAAAGCCAGGGCUAACUACGUG